CCUGUUCUGGUCCCGUGUCUCUCUCUCCCUCUAUCAUCUUAGAGGUCCACUGUUUGUUCUAAACAACCCUUAGACCGUGUUAUAAAACCACAUAGUACCUGCUAACAACAACAACAGUUUAGUCCGGAGGUUACAAAGUCUUCCAAUGUCAACAUCGUCCCCAGCCUCUUAAUGUCCCAAACCCCCAGCCUCUUAAAAUGUCUUAAUGUCCCAGCCUCUUAAUGUCCCCAGCCUCUAACUCCAACAGAGAGGUUACAAAGUGUUCCAGUGUCAACAUCGUCCCCAGGCUCUUAAUGUCCCAGACCCCCAGCCUCUUAAUGCCCCCAGCCUCUAACUCCAACAGAGAGGUUACAAAGUGUUCCAGUGUCAACAUCGUCCCCAGGCUCUUAAUGUCCCAGACCCCCAGCCUCUUAAUGCCCCCAGCCUCUAACUCCAACAGAGAGGUUGCAUAAUGAUUUGAAUGAAUGUUAGUUUUCUGUCGGACCAAAGGUUGUUCUGAAUGAAGCACGUUGAACACUGUCCUCCUGUCUGUGAGGUUACACAGGUGCUGCUCACUGUCUUCCUGUCUGUGAGGUUACACAGGUGCUGCUCACUGUCCUCCUGUCUGUGAGGUUACACAGGUGCUGCUCACUGUCUUCCUGUCUGUGAGGUUACACAGGUGCUGCUCACUGUCUUCCUGUCUG
Long non-coding RNA from Oncorhynchus tshawytscha (Chinook salmon), 683 nucleotides. Lineage: Eukaryota; Metazoa; Chordata; Actinopteri; Salmoniformes; Salmonidae. The record is from Ensembl.